UACCCAGUGGCUGAGAAAAGUAUAGGUCUUUUAAACCUACCAUGGUAAUCUUAUUACUCUGGGUUA
This 66-nucleotide transfer RNA is filed under the name Neaxius acanthus. RNAcentral describes it as "tRNA-Lys". Lineage: Eukaryota; Metazoa; Arthropoda; Malacostraca; Decapoda; Strahlaxiidae. The record is from RNAcentral.